Molecule: ribosomal RNA, 443 nt
Filed under: Nalepa acuminata
Lineage: Eukaryota; Metazoa; Arthropoda; Insecta; Coleoptera; Tenebrionidae
Description: Nalepa sp. 1 XML-2022a partial large subunit ribosomal RNA
Source: RNAcentral
UUCAGGGGUAAACCUGAGAAACCCGAAAGGUCGAAAGGGGAGAUUCAGCGUGUCUCGAUCGUGGCGCUGGACGGUCGUGCGACGGACGGCGUACGCGUCGUCCGCGCCUUUCGUCCUCCGAACUGCGGUCGAACGCGUGCACUUCUCCCCCUGUAGGACGUCGCGAUUCGUCGGGUGUCGGCCUAAGGCUCGAGGUGGAGUUCGUUCGGACGUUUCGGCGUUCGUGACGAACCCUCGGUGUUUCCCGGUCGGCUCGCUCGACGAUAUACAGAUGGCGCGGGGCCGCUACGUUAGUUAGCGUUCGACCUUCGGCAAGCGCGCUCCUCGCGACGGUGAUCGGACCCGGUGCCGGUCCCGUCCCCGGGCGACUGUUGGCCGAGGUGUUCUCGAACAGACCUCGUUUUGAAACGCCGAUCUGCGACGCUAUAGCUUUGGGUACUUUC